Nicotiana attenuata is the source of this 755-nucleotide long non-coding RNA. RefSeq lists it as uncharacterized. Lineage: Eukaryota; Viridiplantae; Streptophyta; Magnoliopsida; Solanales; Solanaceae. The transcript is spliced from 3 exons. The record is from RefSeq and is a predicted model, not a curated record.
AAAAGCAAAAACAAAAAACAUCUUCAAAUAGCAAGUCAUUCUGCUGCAGUAUUUGACAAGUGCAAGCUAAGGACCCUUUCACUUUUCUCCGGUUGCUUCUUCCUUCGCCAUCCAAAGCUGUACCUAAACAAACAAGAAUUGAAAGGAAUCAUAUUCUCAUUGUCACCAAAAGCUUUUUUUGUUCAGAAUAUUUAUAUAUAAGAACAAAUCCAGCUACAAAAGCUGUACGUAGUUUUCAUAUACCAUCAAUUAUCUAUCUGCUCUAUCCCUCUCUCUUUCUUCUUUUCUCUUUUUACUUCUGUGUUGAGGAUUUUCUAAUUAUUGAGUUUAUCAGACAUGUAUGAGCCACCAAAAUAUGGUUAUCCAUACCCCUCUCAAGGUCAAGGAUAUUAUCAGGGUCCUCCUCCUCCAGUGAUGGCGCCACCAACAUAUGCAGCUGCUCCUCCACCUCAGAAAAACAGAGGUUUUCUUGAAGGAUGCCUAGCAGCUCUGUGUUGUUGUUGCCUGAUAGAUGAGUGUUGCUGUGAUCCGUCUAUUAUCUGUAUGUGGUAAGGAUUAAGGUGUGCCGGCUGCCAAUUUCAGUUAUUUCUUCUGCUUUUUACCAAAAUAAGAAUUGUAAUGUAAAUAAGUUCUUUAGGAACAAUAGUAUUAAUUGGGAGUUUAUCUUGUAAUUAUCUUCUUUUAAUUAUUGAACUCUACUCAUACGAAGCAAAGCAUUAAUUAUAUGAGCAUUGCGUGCCACACAAUUAUCCUUA